UACGUAGGGGCCUAGCGUUGUCCGGAUUUAUUGGGCGUAAAGAGCUCGUAGGCGGCUUGGUUAGUCAGGUGUGAAAUCUCCACGCUCAACGUGGAGGGGCCACCUGAUACUGCCAUGGCUUGAGUCCGGUAGGGGAGUGUGGAAUUCCUGGUGUAGCGGUGAAAUGCGUAGAUAUCGAGAGGAACACCUGCGGCGAAGGCGGGUUGCUGGGCUGACACUGACGCUGAGGCGCGAAAGCUAGGGGAGCGAACGGG
Molecule: ribosomal RNA, 254 nt
Filed under: uncultured bacterium
Lineage: Bacteria
Description: partial 16S ribosomal RNA
Rfam family: Bacterial small subunit ribosomal RNA
Source: RNAcentral